Molecule: unclassified non-coding RNA, 25 nt
Filed under: Mus musculus (house mouse)
Lineage: Eukaryota; Metazoa; Chordata; Mammalia; Rodentia; Muridae
Description: oocyte_clustered_small_RNA6736
Source: RNAcentral
CCAUCCACAGAGCUGCAUCAGAUCU